CUGUGAUGUGGAGGCCAUGGCUCCACUGGACUCAUGAGGAGACUGAGGCUCAGAGCAAUGAAGUGACCUGCUCAAAGUUAAGGAGCUUCAUUGAGGACCCAAGUUGUUCUGAUCCUAAGGUCACCAUCCUUAAUCCCUCUCCCUGUGGGGUCUUCCCUAUCUUGAACCUGGAGACAACUGUGCAGUGGCAAGAGAAAGACCUUCAGAGCCACACUGACGUGGCCUCCCUGACGACCCCUGAUGGCCUUGCAUGCUUGCCCUUGGGACUCAGACACCAUAUUUUGAGGAAGCCCAAGCUACAUGCAGAGGCCACUAUAGAUGUUCUGGCCAACAGCCCAAGCUUCAGCUGCCAGACAUAUGAAUAAACCAACUCUUCAAAUGA
Mandrillus leucophaeus (drill) is the source of this 382-nucleotide long non-coding RNA. RefSeq lists it as uncharacterized. The transcript is spliced from 2 exons. Lineage: Eukaryota; Metazoa; Chordata; Mammalia; Primates; Cercopithecidae. The record is from RefSeq and is a predicted model, not a curated record.